RNAcentral lists this ribosomal RNA (903 nucleotides) under uncultured bacterium. Its description in RNAcentral is "bacterial SSU rRNA". It matches the Rfam family "Bacterial small subunit ribosomal RNA", at positions 8 to 916 of the family's 1533-position model. The record is from RNAcentral.
AGAGUUUGAUCCUGGCUCAGAACGAACGCUGGCGGCGUGGAUUAGGCAUGCAAGUCGAACGAUCCCGCAAGGGAUAGUGGCGAAAGGGUGCGUAACACGUGGGCAAUCUGCCCCCGAAACGGGAAUAACUUCGGGAAACCGAAGCUAAUACCUGAUGACACCGAGCUGCCGCAUGGUGGCACGGUGAAAGGCGUCCGCAAGGGUGCCGAUCGGGGAUGAGCCCGCGGCCUAUCAGCUAGUUGGUGAGGUAACGGCCCACCAAGGCGAUGACGGGUAGCCGGCCUGAGAGGGUGGUCGGCCACAUUGGGACUGAGACACUGCCCAGACUCCUACGGGAGGCUGCAGUCGAGGAUCUUCCGCAAUGGGGGAAACCCUGACGGAGCGACGCCGCGUGGAGGAUGAAGGCCUUCGGGUCGUAAACUCCUGUCAGUCUGGAAGAAAAUCUGCAGCAAUGUGGAUUGACCGUACAGGCAGAGGAAGCUCCGGCUAACUCCGUGCCAGCAGCCGCGGUAAUACGGAGGGAGCGAGCGUUGUUCGGAAUCAUUGGGCGUAAAGGGCAUGUAGGCGGCUCUGUAAGUCGGGUGUGAAAUCCCAUCUCUCAAGGGUGGAACGGCAUUCGAAACUGCAGGGCUUGAGUUCGGGGGAAGAGAGCGGAAUUCUCGGUGUAGCGGUGAUAUGCGUAGAUAUCGAGAAGAACACCAGCGGCGUAAGCGGCUCUCUAUCCUGAAACUGACGCUGAGGUGCGAAAGCCAGGGGAGCGAACGGGAUUAGAUACCCCGGUAGUCCUGGCCAUAAACGAUGUGCACUUGGUGUUGGGCCGCGAGGCUCAGUGCCGAAGCUAACGCAUUAAGUGCACCGCCUGGGGAGUACGACCGCAAGGUUGAAACUCAAAGGAAUUGACGG